AUUGAACGCUGGCGGCAUGCCUUACACAUGCAAGUCGAACGGUAACAGGUCUUCGGAUGCUGACGAGUGGCGAACGGGUGAGUAAUACAUCGGAACGUGCCCGAGAGUGGGGGAUAACGGAGCGAAAGCUUUGCUAAUACCGCAUACGAUCUACGGAUGAAAGCAGGGGACCGCAAGGCCUUGCGCUCAUGGAGCGGCCGAUGGCAGAUUAGGUAGUUGGUGGGAUAAAAGCUUACCAAGCCGACGAUCUGUGGCUGGUCUGAGAGGACGACCAGCCACACUGGGACUGAGACACGGCCCAGACUCCUACGGGAGGCAGCAGUGGGGAAUUUUGGACAAUGGGCGCAAGCCUGAUCCAGCCAUGCCGCGUGCAGGAUGAAGGCCUUCGGGUUGUAAACUGCUUUUGUACGGAACGAAAAGCCUCUUUCGAAUAAAGAGAGGUCAUGACGGUACCGUAAGAAUAAGCACCGGCUAACUACGUGCCAGUAGCCGCCGUAA
Molecule: ribosomal RNA, 498 nt
Filed under: uncultured bacterium
Lineage: Bacteria
Description: partial 16S ribosomal RNA
Rfam family: Bacterial small subunit ribosomal RNA
Source: RNAcentral